GAAGUAAAAGUCAUAACAAGGUUUCCGUAGGUGAACCUGCGGAAGGAUCAUUAGAGAAUCGCCGAAAGGCUUUCUUCACCCACACCCGUGCACCCGGUGGCCUCUGGCYGCCGCAACACAAACCGUCGUCAUGAACGUCAUGUAUGAUAAUUGAAACAACUUUCAACAACGGAUCUCUUGGCUCUCGCAUCGAUGAAGAACGCAGCGAAAUGCGAUAAGUAAUGUGAAUUGCAGAAUUCAGUGAAUCAUCGAAUCUUUGAACGCACCUUGCGCCCUCUGGUAUUCCGGAGGGCAUGCCUGUUUGAGUGUCAUGUGANCUCAACACCACCGGGUUUCCGGCGGCGUUGGAUUUGGGCGCUGGCCUGNGGGCCUCGCCUCAAAGGUGUUAGUGGGUCUUGCCUNGACGUUUUAAGCACUCGUCCCCCGGCGGCCCUCUCACAAAGCCCCCCUUCAUUUUGACUCUGACCUCAAAUCAGGCAGGACUACCCGCUGAACUUAAGCAUAU
RNAcentral lists this ribosomal RNA (505 nucleotides) under Tremella lloydiae-candidae. RNAcentral describes it as "eukaryotic LSU rRNA". The record is from RNAcentral. Lineage: Eukaryota; Fungi; Basidiomycota; Tremellomycetes; Tremellales; Tremellaceae.